RNAcentral lists this ribosomal RNA (2926 nucleotides) under Staphylococcus aureus. RNAcentral's name for it is "23S ribosomal RNA". It matches the Rfam family "Bacterial large subunit ribosomal RNA". Lineage: Bacteria; Bacillati; Bacillota; Bacilli; Caryophanales; Staphylococcaceae. The record is from RNAcentral.
AGAUUAAGUUAUUAAGGGCGCACGGUGGAUGCCUUGGCACUAGAAGCCGAUGAAGGACGUUACUAACGACGAUAUGCUUUGGGGAGCUGUAAGUAAGCUUUGAUCCAGAGAUUUCCGAAUGGGGAAACCCAGCAUGAGUUAUGUCAUGUUAUCGAUAUGUGAAUACAUAGCAUAUCAGAAGGCACACCCGGAGAACUGAAACAUCUUAGUACCCGGAGGAAGAGAAAGAAAAUUCGAUUCCCUUAGUAGCGGCGAGCGAAACGGGAAGAGCCCAAACCAACAAGCUUGCUUGUUGGGGUUGUAGGACACUCUAUACGGAGUUACAAAGGACGACAUUAGACGAAUCAUCUGGAAAGAUGAAUCAAAGAAGGUAAUAAUCCUGUAGUCGAAAAUGUUGUCUCUCUUGAGUGGAUCCUGAGUACGACGGAGCACGUGAAAUUCCGUCGGAAUCUGGGAGGACCAUCUCCUAAGGCUAAAUACUCUCUAGUGACCGAUAGUGAACCAGUACCGUGAGGGAAAGGUGAAAAGCACCCCGGAAGGGGAGUGAAAUAGAACCUGAAACCGUGUGCUUACAAGUAGUCAGAGCCCGUUAAUGGGUGAUGGCGUGCCUUUUGUAGAAUGAACCGGCGAGUUACGAUUUGAUGCAAGGUUAAGCAGUAAAUGUGGAGCCGUAGCGAAAGCGAGUCUGAAUAGGGCGUUUAGUAUUUGGUCGUAGACCCGAAACCAGGUGAUCUACCCUUGGUCAGGUUGAAGUUCAGGUAACACUGAAUGGAGGACCGAACCGACUUACGUUGAAAAGUGAGCGGAUGAACUGAGGGUAGCGGAGAAAUUCCAAUCGAACCUGGAGAUAGCUGGUUCUCUCCGAAAUAGCUUUAGGGCUAGCCUCAAGUGAUGAUUAUUGGAGGUAGAGCACUGUUUGGACGAGGGGCCCCUCUCGGGUUACCGAAUUCAGACAAACUCCGAAUGCCAAUUAAUUUAACUUGGGAGUCAGAACAUGGGUGAUAAGGUCCGUGUUCGAAAGGGAAACAGCCCAGACCACCAGCUAAGGUCCCAAAAUAUAUGUUAAGUGGAAAAGGAUGUGGCGUUGCCCAGACAACUAGGAUGUUGGCUUAGAAGCAGCCAUCAUUUAAAGAGUGCGUAAUAGCUCACUAGUCGAGUGACACUGCGCCGAAAAUGUACCGGGGCUAAACAUAUUACCGAAGCUGUGGAUUGUCCUUUGGACAAUGGUAGGAGAGCGUUCUAAGGGCGUUGAAGCAUGAUCGUAAGGACAUGUGGAGCGCUUAGAAGUGAGAAUGCCGGUGUGAGUAGCGAAAGACGGGUGAGAAUCCCGUCCACCGAUUGACUAAGGUUUCCAGAGGAAGGCUCGUCCGCUCUGGGUUAGUCGGGUCCUAAGCUGAGGCCGACAGGCGUAGGCGAUGGAUAACAGGUUGAUAUUCCUGUACCACCUAUAAUCGUUUUAAUCGAUGGGGGGACGCAGUAGGAUAGGCGAAGCGUGCGAUUGGAUUGCACGUCUAAGCAGUAAGGCUGAGUAUUAGGCAAAUCCGGUACUCGUUAAGGCUGAGCUGUGAUGGGGAGAAGACAUUGUGUCUUCGAGUCGUUGAUUUCACACUGCCGAGAAAAGCCUCUAGAUAGAAAAUAGGUGCCCGUACCGCAAACCGACACAGGUAGUCAAGAUGAGAAUUCUAAGGUGAGCGAGCGAACUCUCGUUAAGGAACUCGGCAAAAUGACCCCGUAACUUCGGGAGAAGGGGUGCUCUUUAGGGUUAACGCCCAGAAGAGCCGCAGUGAAUAGGCCCAAGCGACUGUUUAUCAAAAACACAGGUCUCUGCUAAACCGUAAGGUGAUGUAUAGGGGCUGACGCCUGCCCGGUGCUGGAAGGUUAAGAGGAGUGGUUAGCUUCUGCGAAGCUACGAAUCGAAGCCCCAGUAAACGGCGGCCGUAACUAUAACGGUCCUAAGGUAGCGAAAUUCCUUGUCGGGUAAGUUCCGACCCGCACGAAAGGCGUAACGAUUUGGGCACUGUCUCAACGAGAGACUCGGUGAAAUCAUAGUACCUGUGAAGAUGCAGGUUACCCGCGACAGGACGGAAAGACCCCGUGGAGCUUUACUGUAGCCUGAUAUUGAAAUUCGGCACAGCUUGUACAGGAUAGGUAGGAGCCUUUGAAACGUGAGCGCUAGCUUACGUGGAGGCGCUGGUGGGAUACUACCCUAGCUGUGUUGGCUUUCUAACCCGCACCACUUAUCGUGGUGGGAGACAGUGUCAGGCGGGCAGUUUGACUGGGGCGGUCGCCUCCUAAAAGGUAACGGAGGCGCUCAAAGGUUCCCUCAGAAUGGUUGGAAAUCAUUCAUAGAGUGUAAAGGCAUAAGGGAGCUUGACUGCGAGACCUACAAGUCGAGCAGGGUCGAAAGACGGACUUAGUGAUCCGGUGGUUCCGCAUGGAAGGGCCAUCGCUCAACGGAUAAAAGCUACCCCGGGGAUAACAGGCUUAUCUCCCCCAAGAGUUCACAUCGACGGGGAGGUUUGGCACCUCGAUGUCGGCUCAUCGCAUCCUGGGGCUGUAGUCGGUCCCAAGGGUUGGGCUGUUCGCCCAUUAAAGCGGUACGCGAGCUGGGUUCAGAACGUCGUGAGACAGUUCGGUCCCUAUCCGUCGUGGGCGUAGGAAAUUUGAGAGGAGCUGUCCUUAGUACGAGAGGACCGGGAUGGACAUACCUCUGGUGUACCAGUUGUCGUGCCAACGGCAUAGCUGGGUAGCUAUGUGUGGACGGGAUAAGUGCUGAAAGCAUCUAAGCAUGAAGCCCCCUCAAGAUGAGAUUUCCCAACUUCGGUUAUAAGAUCCCUCAAAGAUGAUGAGGUUAAUAGGUUCGAGGUGGAAGCAUGGUGACAUGUGGAGCUGACGAAUACUAAUCGAUCGAAGACUUAAUCAAAUU